CAGCAGUUUGUGUGUGAGACUUGCGCAGGAAUGUUCACUCUCGUUUUUUCGUGUCAGUGAACUCGAUCGUUAAAAAUAUGGCGAUGAAUGUGAGCGUGAGCACACCGCGGUCCUGUAGUAGAAAUAGAGAUCUGGAUCGCAGAAAUUAUAAAUUUUCUCCAAAUACAAACAUUAUUAUUUUAUCAAUUCAUCUAUCAGUUGUUUUUAUUAUUUUAUCAGCAGUUGAAGGAAGUACUGGUACACCUUUAUCACAGUGGUACAUAAGUGAUGUUGGUUACGGGAAUUCAAAUGACGACAGUAAAACUAUUUCAUUGGAAAGGAUUUACUUAAUUACUCAGCAAAAUCAAGACAAAUCUGUGCUACCAAUCUCCUUGCUGCCGGUUACCGAGGGGAUGUCCUCAUCCCCUAAGCAUAGGAUUCGGCAGUCCUCAACGGGACUGGAUGAUGCUGGGAUGGACCUACAAGCAAGUCAGCUCAGUACCCGUGCUGGUCAGGAGAUUAGCUCGACGGCUGCUGUAUCAUGGACAAACUGGAAAUUGCCAUUUCCUGUGAUAGUCUGUGCAAUUGCUGGCGCUAUUCUCUUAACUUUCCUGAUCCUCUUAUGGCUCCGCAAGCAAAUGUCGAGUGAAAAGAAGUCUAGUGAUGGAGAUAGACGUGAGUUGGUGGAAAAAGGCGCUGUUGAUGGGUCCUCGUCCUCGUCGUCACUGGAUAAGCCGGGUAAGAGUACCCAAGAAUGGUCAAUGGAAGCCAAAUGGGUUCAUCAGCCAGCUGCUAAGCCAUCGUCAGUUUCCGUGCAAACAGUUCCUGUUGCUAGAGCUGUCGGCUUGUCCACUGGCGGCUUAGUUUGCAAUUUACCUCAAGUACUGACUGUCGCGACUCCUGAGAGACGUCCUGAACCCAUUCGCAUAAAGGCUAAAGGAUCUCUUCUCGAACGACGAGGCUCAAGUGCUAGUUUGACAAUCGAGCUGGCCCCUGCGCCCGGCAGUCCACCCCAUGUCGUCACUCCAACACGCGAAUGCACCUCUGAGGAAUUUCUUCUCAGCGCUGGAAACGUUCUAUCCCGCAUGCAGUUGAGAAAAGUCAUACAAGAUCCAUCUGCGCUACAUAAAAAAUUUUGGGAGGUCCCGUUAAAUUUACCAGAGAAAGUUGAUAUUUUUGGAGCUGGCGUAAAGAAUAGAUAUUCUGGAGUUCUGCCAAACCCUCAAUCUAGGGUUGUCUUGAGGGGAUCUGAUGAUCCAGUCGCUAGUUACAUCAAUGCUAAUUACAUUCGGGGAUACGAUGGUGAAAGUAAUCGUUACAUAGCAACCCAAGGACCACUUGCCAGCACAGUGGCAGAUUUUUGGCGAAUGGUGUGGAUGGACAAAGUAUCGGGAGUUGUAAUGAUGACGCGGUUGUUUGAAGCAGCUAAGGCCAAGUGUGACGUUUAUUUCCCACUGGAGAACAACAGCCGAAUUCAGGCUGGCCCAUUUACAAUUACCGUCACGUCUAUCACGAACAGAGACGGGUACAUGAUACGUGAUAUCGAGCUGAGACACGAGAAUGAAAGAAGGAAUGUUACGCACUAUUGGUAUGACUCAUGGCCUGAUCAUGCAGUACCUCAAGCCGCGGACUCACUAGUCAGUUUGGCGGCCGAAAUAAAUACCUUGCCCGGGCCUGUGGUGGUGCACUGUAGUGCAGGGAUAGGCAGAACUGGGUGUUUCAUUGCUCUUGCCACUGGGAUGAUUCAACUCGCCCGAGAUGGCAAUGUUGAUGUUCUAGGAAUUCUCUGUCAAAUGAGGUACGACAGAGGAGGAAUGAUUCAGACAGCUGAGCAAUACGAGUUUGUACACAAAGCUCUCUGUCUGUUUGAGCAGACGCUGGAUGGCAAAGUGCCAACAACCGGCGACUGAAGUGUCUAGCCAGCUAGACAUUUACAAAUAAAAUAAUAUUAAAUAAUCAAGUUGAAGUGGCGAGUGACCUGAUUAUCAUUUAAUUGCUCGCGGAUUACUGAGUAUCUACUCACUGGAUGAAAUGAAAAUGUCACAACUCUUCUUCUUCUUCUUGAUUUUAAUAGCAAUGUACAACAUUGAUAACAAAAUCAAUAUCUAUCGUCGUCUUAAUGAUGUAUAACUUCGUUAAAAUUAAUCAGACGAUUAUGAAUCUCGUCACUUGUUAAGCUGCCAUUACUAUACUGCCACUAACAAAAAAUAUACACAACUUUAUUGUAAAAUAUACAUUUUACUAUUGACGAUCAUAAAUACGAUUUAAAAAAAAAUGGCUCAAGUAAUCGAGAUUAUUAUAUGAAAACAAGAGACACGACUAGAUGGUAUUUUAAUUGUAUGGUAUGACUUCCUUAAAUCUAUGAUCCGAUACUCGACAAUAUGAUAUGAAUAUAUUAUAUAUAAUAUAUAUAUUUAUUUUUAAUUAUUUAAUUAGGUCAUUGCUGGCAACAAUGGAUUAUUUGUAAUUAAAAUUUUUUUUUUAACUAUUCCUAAUCGUGGAUCAUUAAUUAUUUAUACUUUAAAUGAGAAUCUUUUAGCAUUAAAUAAUUUAAAAAUUCCGACGUGAAAACAAUGGUUUUCUUCACAAUUAUUUAUAUUUAUUUUGAAUUUAUUUAUUAACAAAGACUGAAUGCUACUAGUACAAUGUGUUUCAUUAAUAAAUUGUUAAAAAAAAAAAAAAAAAGAUAUAAAGAUAAGUUAGAUUGUGCAA
Molecule: unclassified non-coding RNA, 2691 nt
Filed under: Cotesia glomerata
Lineage: Eukaryota; Metazoa; Arthropoda; Insecta; Hymenoptera; Braconidae
Description: tyrosine-protein phosphatase non-receptor type 7- like, transcript variant X6
Source: RNAcentral